Molecule: ribosomal RNA, 393 nt
Filed under: uncultured bacterium
Lineage: Bacteria
Description: partial 16S ribosomal RNA
Rfam family: Bacterial small subunit ribosomal RNA
Source: RNAcentral
AUACGGAGGAUCCGAGCGUUAUCCGGAUUUAUUGGGUUUAAAGGGUGCGCAGGCGGGAGAUUAAGUCGGCGGUGAAAUUUUGCAGCUCAACUUUAAAAGGGCCUUCGAUACUGGGUUUCUUGAGUGUGGGUGAAGUAGGCGGCAUUUGUGGUGUUGCGGGGGAAUGCUUAGAUAUCACGAGGAACUCCGAUUGCGCAGGCAGCUUACUAAACCACUACUGACGCUCAGGCACGAAGGCGUGGGGAUCAAACAGGAUUAGAUACCCUGGUAGUCCACGCAGUAAACGAUGAUUACUGGCUGUUUGCGAUACAUUGUAAGCGGCUGAGCGAAAGCGUUAAGUAAUCCACCUGGGGAGUACGUUCGCAAGAAUGAAACUCAAAGGAAUUGACGGGG